This 253-nucleotide ribosomal RNA is filed under the name uncultured bacterium. Its description in RNAcentral is "partial 16S ribosomal RNA". It matches the Rfam family "Bacterial small subunit ribosomal RNA", at positions 524 to 776 of the family's 1533-position model. The record is from RNAcentral.
UACAGAGGUCUCAAGCGUUGUUCGGAUUCAUUGGGCGUAAAGAGCGUGUAGGCGGCCGAGUAAGUCCGGUGUGAAAACUCGAGGCUUAACCUCGAGAUGUCAUCGGAAACUAUUCGGCUAGAGUCCGGAAGAGGAGAGUGGAAUUCCUGGUGUAGCGGUGAAAUGCGCAGAUAUCGGGAGGAACACCUAUGGCGAAGGCAGCUCGCUGGGACGUUACUGACGCUGAGACGCGAAAGCGUGGGGAGCAAACAGG